This 491-nucleotide ribosomal RNA is filed under the name uncultured bacterium. RNAcentral's name for it is "bacterial SSU rRNA". It matches the Rfam family "Bacterial small subunit ribosomal RNA", at positions 28 to 511 of the family's 1533-position model. The record is from RNAcentral.
GAUGAACGCUAGCGGCAGGCUUAAUACAUGCGAGUCGUGGGGCAGCAGGUUUGUAGCAAUACAGAUGCUGGCGACCGGCAAACGGGUGCGGAACACGUACAGAACCUUCCUUUGAGCGGGGAAUAGCCCAGAGAAAUUUGGAUUAAUACCCCAUAGUAUAAUGAAGUGGCAUCACUUUAUUAUUAAAGAUUUAUCACUCGAAGAUGGCUGUGCGGCUGAUUAGGUAGUUGUCGGGGUAAAGGCCCACCAAGCCUGCGAUCAGUAACUGGUGUGAGAGCACGACCAGUCACACGGGCACUGAGACACGGGCCCGACUCCUACGGGAGGCAGCAGUAAGGAAUAUUGGUCAAUGGAGGCAACUCUGAACCAGCCAUGCCGCGUGGAGGAUGAAGGUCCUCUGGAUUGUAAACUUCUUUUAUAUGGGACGAAAAAAGGCUUUCUAAGUCGUCUGACGGUACCAUAUGAAUAAGCACCGGCUAACUCCGUGCCAG